UAAUAAGUAAUAUGAGGACGUCAGCCUUGUAUGAAUAAGGGGGUACCAUCCUCCAAGGCUAAGUAUAAUAUAUCUAGCGAUAGUGGAGAGUAACGUGAGUGAAAGGUGAAAAGUAAGUAGAUGACUAGUGAAAUAGAACCUGAACUAGUAAUCCUAUAAGCAGUUGGAGUUUUAGUAAAAAAUGACAACGUACCUUUUGCAUAAUGGGUCAGCGAGUUAGUUUAUAGAGCAAGAUGAAUAAUCUAAGCGAAAGCAACUAUAAUAAGUGGAUCAAAAAUAGUUUUAUGAACUAGACCCGAAGCCAAAUGAUCUUACUAUGGCCAGGCUAAAAAAGGGCCGAACAGGUGAAUGUUGCAAAAUUCUCUGAUGAGCUGUGGUAAGGGGUGAAAGGCCAAUCUAAUUUGGAUGAUAGCUGGUAUUCUGCGAAACCUAUUUAGGUAGGGCCUUUAUUUACACUUUUAUAUGUACAGCACUGAUCAUCAUACAUUAGCCAGAUAUUUAUAUCACUAUGUUAAAUUGGGGGGUCUCACAACUCUACCAUUGAUGGUUAACCUCGGAAGGAUAAUAGUGAAUGAUAAGGGCACAGUCUAUUCAUGAUAAGGUGGAUAGACAAAAGGGAAACAGCCCAGAGCACGUGUUAAGGUCCCAAAAUAUUGUUAAGUGAAUAUAAGAAAGUUUAACUCCUAAUACAACCAUGAAGUAGGCUUGGAGGUAGCCAUCUUUUAAUGAUAGUGUAACAACUCAGUGGUCCAUGUUUCCCUAAUCCCUUACAGGGAUUAGGGAAACACAAAAAGAAAAAGAAAUUUUUCUUGCAGUUUCCUGGAGGAGAUAAGCGUCGAAAAUUAACGGGUCUUAGACAAUAUACCUACACCGUGACUAUUUAUAAUAUAUUCUAUUUUUAUUAUAAAUAAGGGUAGCAGAACAUUCAGUAUCUGAUUGAAGGGAAAUGUUUCAUUUACUGGACAGUACUGAAGAGAAAAUGCUGACAUGAGUAACGUAGAAAGGAGUUAAAACACUCCUCGCCGAAUACGAGAGGGUUUCAUGGAAAAGUUAAUCUGCCAUGAGUUAUACGGACUCUAAGGAUUAUAUGACGAAUGUUUAUAUCUGAUGAGAAUAAUAACACUGAAUUAUCUAUAUAUAAUAUCAUUUAAUCUGUAUGAGAUUGUACAGAGUAAAGGAUAGAUCAAGAAAAAUAAGUGUCACUAAAUUUAUAGUGAAUCCGUACCCUAAACCGACACAGGUUCGUAGGUAGAGAAUACUAAGGCGUAGAGAUAAUGCUUGUGAAGGAACUCGGCAAAUUGUGCCCGUAAGUUAGACGAUAAGGGUAACCAGAAUAAAAUAAUUAUAUUCUAAUUCUGAGUGUCACAUAAUCGAGGGCUGCGACUGUUUACCAAAAACACAGCAACUUGCUAAGACGAAUAGUACUUGUAUAAGUUGUGAACUCUGCCCAAUGCCAUGUCGUGUAAAGAAGGUGAUUUAUUUAGUAGUUAUACUAAAUAGUGUCACUAACUGAUGCCAUGGUGAAUGGCGGUCUUAACUAUAAGGAUCUGAAAGUAGCGAAAUUCCUUGGCCAUUAAAUGUGGUCCUGCAUGAAUGAGGUAACGUGGCCCUGCUGUCUCCACAAGCAUCUCAGUGAAAUUGAAUUAGCCGUGCAGAUGCGGUUUACCUUCAGUUAGACGGGAAGACCCUAUGCAGCUUUACUGUAACUUGAUAUUGUUUCUUCUAUAGCUAAGUGUAGUAUACAAGGGAGUAGAUAUUUUCUACAUCAGUGAAAUACCUUGAUUAGUCUAAAGAAGAAACUUACCUAAAUGACACUAAUCGAAUAGUUCUUCAUGAGAUAUUGCGAAGAUCUCUAGUUUACGUCUCUAUAAAUUAAAUAGGAUUUAAUUUUCAUUUUUUUUUUCUAUUAGGUUUAUGGAAAGAGGAGUUUAUUCUCUUCUUUCCAUAAAUGGAAUAGAGGAAGAAUUCUUCCUCUAUUCCAUUUAUAAUACAGCCCCUUUUAUAUUUAUAAAAUAUAAGAUAAACUGUAUAUGAAUAAUUUAUUAAAUUUAGUAGUCUGGGAAAAUAUCAGGUGGUCAGUUUGACUGGGACGGUAGCCUCUAAUAAAGUAUCAGAGGCCUUCAAAGGUAUGCAUAUAUUGGUCAGAAACCAAUGAACUAUGUAAAGUUUAUUAAAGCGUAAUAGUAUAAGCAUGCUUGACUGAAAGACUGAUAGGUCGAUCAGAUACGCAAGUAGGAUAUAGUGAUCCGGUGAUUCAUUAUGGAAUGGUCAUCGCUCAAGAAAUAAAAGUUACGCUAGGGAUAACAGGUUUAUCGUUUGCGAGAGUUCAUAUUGUCCAAACGGUUUGACACCUCGAUGUCGACUCAUCUCAUCCUCCAGGUGUAGUAGCUUGGAAGGGUUCAGCUGUUCGCUGAUUAAAGAGGUACGCGAGUUG
RNAcentral lists this ribosomal RNA (2434 nucleotides) under Mycosarcoma maydis (corn smut). RNAcentral's name for it is "Ustilago maydis partial large subunit ribosomal RNA". It matches the Rfam family "Bacterial large subunit ribosomal RNA", at positions 406 to 2607 of the family's 2925-position model. Lineage: Eukaryota; Fungi; Basidiomycota; Ustilaginomycetes; Ustilaginales. The record is from RNAcentral.